Molecule: long non-coding RNA, 1788 nt
Organism: Betta splendens (Siamese fighting fish)
Lineage: Eukaryota; Metazoa; Chordata; Actinopteri; Anabantiformes; Osphronemidae
Exons: 3
Source: RefSeq, a predicted model, not a curated record
ACCGUGAAAAGGGAACCAAACAUUUUAAUGUUUUUACCGUUAUUUUUAAUAAAAUGUUUAAACCACUAUCUAUUUCUGGUAGAUACUGGCCUGAUGAAGGAACUGUGAUUUACCCCACAUUAUAUUAUUUAACAUUCAGAAAUAAGCAUCGUCUGUUGUUCCUCCACGGUUAUUUGCGAAGGCAGAGAAAGAUCUGAACCCGUUAAUAUCAGACAGGACGACAGUGAUGUUGGCUGAAUUUGGAUGAUAGGUAUCCUAAAAGAAAAGUGUUAGACUGGUGCUGGGAGAAGGAAAAAGUGGUAGUAACAAGCUUUGGGUGGAAGGGAGAGGAGUAGGCAAGAAAGAGGUGGGAAUGAAAAAUCAUAUCCCUAAAAGAGCUCUAUGGAGGCAAUAAGAGGGUGGACGUGGAACUGGAGAUGAGGAAAAGACAACUGGAGAAUAUUAAUGUAGUUUUUUUCACAAUAUAGUGACUGUAGAGAUGAAAUACAGAUGAUAUGUUCUGUUGUUCACGGGUUGGUCAAAAGAUCAAAAAUUGUGGAAAACAGGUGCAGAAGUAGUGGAAAACACAGGAAUAGAAACCCGAGUCAAAACCUCAGACCAUUUGAGCAAGUUUGCAGUGGAGUUGUUGCAUCAUCAAUGAGGUGGAUGGAGCAUAGCAGGUUAAGUUCCAACUUGUGAUCAGCUGACUGUCACUUACCAGCUGCCUGCCUCUUCUCCUGCCUGUACACCAACACAGAGCCUCUAAGGACCAGACGCUCUGUCAUCAGGUCGCAGGCAUCUCUUGAUUCCACUUAGUUUAGAUUAAUCUGACUCAAACGAGCACAACAUGCACCAAGAAAUGUACAAGUCCGUGAGGAAGGCUGUGCUUCUGCGCUGUGCCAUCAUUAAAGCAGAGUCCAUUCACUGAAAGAUUUACUUUGGACUGGUGCCAAUGAAACUACUUCCUGAUCAAUACAGAGAAAACCAAGGAGAUGCUGGUAGUUUUUUACAGAUGGCAGUCUGCUAUCAUUCCACCGAUGCACAUCCAGGGAAUGGGCGUUGAGAGAGUGGACUCUUAUAAAGUGCCUGGGUGUGCAUCUAAACAAUAAACUGGACUGGAACACGGAUGCACUGUACAUGAAGAGUCAGAGCAGACUCUACCUCCUGAGGAGUCUUUUGGAGUGAGGGGGCCACUCCUGAAGACCUUCUAUGACUCUGCUCUGUUCUUGGCUGUGCUCUGGACAGCAACAGACUGAUUCGCCCUUGCUGUGUAAAGGAGAUUCCCCCGAUCUUUCCAUCCUGCUGUUAUCAGACUGUACAAUCAGCACUGUUAAUUACCUCCCAGUCAAUAACUCACCCACUGCAUCUGUAGUUAUGUUGUAGACUUUCUUCAGUGCAAUAUUUAUAUUAUAUGUAAUAAUUAUUCCCAUGUCCCUGUAAACUACUCACUUUGUAUAGUGUUGUACUGUGUCGACUUAGCUGAAUUUCAACACUGUACUGUGCUGUUGUGAGGUGCAAUUUCCCUGCUGCGGGACAAUUAAAGGCUUUCUUAUUCUUAAAUAUAUUUCUUUUGGCUUUUUAGUAGCACUGUUCAAUUAGGAGAACAUUAACCAUAUAUAGCUAAUUGCUGUUUGGAAAAUAAUCACAAUUAAUUAAAAGCGCAUCAUAUUGUUAACGUUAUUAAUGUUGAUAAUAACCAGCAGCUGCUGCUUUAUUUGUCUGACUGAAAUAACUCAAACCUACAAAAUAAUGAAAGGAAAAGUCAAAGCGUCAGUGUCUGAGUGACUGGCCUCUUUUCUUUUCUGAAGA